GUUUCCGAAGAGCUUCUGCAGAACAAGGUAGCUCUGAAUAUACUGGGGCAAAUUCUGCUCUCCCUGAUUUUGCUUCUGCGUUUUCAUUAACAAGCUGGGGCUGGAUUUGGCCCCUCUGGCUCUGAAGCAGGAAGCGUGCUGCAGACCUCAGUGCGACGUAGACAGCUUCUUAAAAACCUUUCAUAUUUCAUGAUCGCUGUCGAUUCUCUUAUGAUCAGCGUUGGUUCAAGCUCUCAUGAAUCAAAAAUCAGUUCAUGGCAUGCGUCUUAGAGCAAUCUAUUUGUCUGCAGGUAGCAAAGGGAAACGGCGCUUUGAAGAAUAAAAUCCCUUUGCCUUCAGAGCGACGCAUGGGCGGCAGGGGAGGCUGGAGCACCAGACGGGAGCUUAGACCUCCUAUUCAGGCUCAGCCCUGGGCAUGCUGGGUGACCUUGUGUUCUCCCAUUUUCUUCUGGUUUCAGUCCGCCAGCUCCUGACAGCUCGAAUCAAAUGCCUGCCCAAACCUGGAUGGCCCAAGGAGCUGGCAUGGCUGAGGCACAGCUUGGAGCAGCUGGAGCGAUGCGUCUGUUGCACCGGAGCUGUCGGCCAUGCUGUUCCAGUUCAGGGGCUCCUGCAACAGAAAAGAUCAGCUGUUGGAGAACCCAUGGAAAGCCCUGGGGGAGAGCCAUGGCCGCAAGGUAAUCAGCAGGCAAAGUUAUUACCAUUAUGCUGCUAAUUAAUUCCCAGCUCAUUACGUUUCCUGUGGCUAAUUUGUACUCGCC
This 758-nucleotide long non-coding RNA is filed under the name Anser brachyrhynchus (Pink-footed goose). RNAcentral describes it as "lncRNA (ENSABRG00000006040.1)". Lineage: Eukaryota; Metazoa; Chordata; Aves; Anseriformes; Anatidae. The record is from RNAcentral.